Molecule: ribosomal RNA, 461 nt
Filed under: uncultured bacterium
Lineage: Bacteria
Description: bacterial SSU rRNA
Rfam family: Bacterial small subunit ribosomal RNA
Source: RNAcentral
AUUGAACGCUGGCGGCAUGCUUUACACAUGCAAGUCGAACGGCAGCGCGGGGGCAACCCUGGCGGCGAGUGGCGAACGGGUGAGUAAUGUAUCGGAACGUAUCCUGUAAUGGGGGAUAACCAGUCGAAAGAUUGGGUAAUACCGCAUACGCACGAGAGUGGAAAGUAGGGGAUCGCAAGACCUUACGUUAUAGGAGCGGCCGAUAUCUGAUUAGUUAGUUGGUAGGGUAACGGCCUACCAAGGCAGCGAUCAGUAGCCGACCUGAGAGGGUGAUCGGCCACAUUGGAACUGAGACACGGUCCAAACUCCUACGGGAGGCAGCAGUGGGGAAUAUUGCACAAUGGGCGAAAGCCUGAUGCAGCAACGCCGCGUGAAGGAUGAAGGCCUUUGGGUCGUAAACUUCUGUCCUUGGGGAAGAAAAAAUGACGGUACCCCUGGAGGAAGUCCCGGCUAACUACGUG